GUAUUUAUUUUUUUUUUUUUUUAAGGAAGAUAAAAACAUGUAUGAUGUUUGUUUUUAAUUUAAGCAUCUUGUUUUAGUUUCAAUAACUGAAUAAUCACUUUUCUUGUUUGUAUAGAUAAUCAAUAUUCUAUUAACCACAUGCGAAUAUAGUUCAAUAAGUUUGUUUCUUGCCAAACCAAAUUGCGUUUAUCCCAACAUUCCAUUCACCAAACAGAAAACAAGUCAUUUGUAAGGUAAAUGACUAUAGGUCAUUAAUUUUGUUAUCAUGUCCAUUAUUUUGGAUGCCAAUAGAGAAACACAGAGUUUAAGGACUCAAACAAAACAGAGAGUGAGAAUGCAAGAGCCAUUCCUCAAUAGACUUCUGUCCAUGAAUCCAUCCUUUAUGAAGCCUUCAAUUCAUCCAAUCCAAAUCGAGCCUGUGUCAAAACAACAAACUUUUAAGUUCAAAGUUCCUUUAGAGAAAUAAAUAUCUUCAUCAUGGAACUGCUAUCACUGUGUGCGUGUUGGACUUUUUUUAUUUAACAAAAUAUAUAUCUCUAAAUAUGGCUUAACUAAGAACAUGAUAAUGCAGAGUUUCAGGGAUUUGGAUUCCAUGCAGUAAAUGCAUGACACAUUAAUUGAUCUUGACAGUCUGGUCUCAAAUCCAAGAUGAACAUUGUUCUCAGAUGUUUUCAUGCAGAUGUAAUCUGAUUCGACUGGUCUCAAUUAAUGUGUGUAAAUCCCUUGUUUUCAAAAUGCAAGGAAUCCAAGUCCACAGUUCAGUCUCCUUUUUCAGGCCAUGUAGAUUAAUGUCAGCAAUCAUCGUUAAUAAGCUAAAAGAAAUUUUACCAGAAACUUGUGAUUCUCUUCAAGGAAAGGAGAAAAGCUAGUACAAAAUUGCUCAAUGUCAGCAUUGAUAUCACCACCUCCAUGAAUUUCUUCCUAUCAGGAGCAAGCAUCAUCGCUACCUGUAGGUAAAAUAUUUAUGUUACAAAACCAUGUUACCAUAUACUACAUGAACACUCAUAAAAAUAGAAAACAAAUCCCUUACAGUGACGGUUGAACUAGCAAGCCAGCCAUGCCACUUCUUUAGAGUCUUGUAAUAGGAAUCAGUACAGGCUUGUGACAUUGACCAAUCUGCAUGCUCAAUUAAGUUUCGGAACACUGCCACCAAGAAAUCCAUAGCUCUGCAGAUUUUACAUGUCAGAGAAAUAAAUGUGUCAUAAAUUAAAAUACUAACAAAUUAUAUAAAGGAAACAAAUAAGCAUUUGCUGAGGCCUCUGACACGAGAAAACAAAAUCAGUAAACUACGAAUAAUUCCGAGCUUCAUAAGCUCAACAUAUAUUGAAGAAAAAUAAAAAGCUUUAUAAUUGAUGCUACUGAAAGAAUCCACCAUUGAGCUGAAAGAUUAUAAAGUAUUAUAAAUCUUCCCUAACACACCUUGAAAAAGUGACUCAUUUAGAACAAAUAGAAAUAAUAUAAAUUAUCCACGCAUAGUAAACAUUCUUGCAUGUAUGCACACAUUACUGUUCUUUAUAGAAUCUCUAUUCAUUAUGUCAAGUAUCAUGUUGCAUUUUAACUGUUCAUUUACUCAUGCAAAACAAACUCUACUUGGAACAUCACAAUGUCAAGAAAGAGUUUUCUAUGAUAACAGAUUCGAGAACACCAUACCAGUAGUAAUUAAAGUUAAGCAGUAAUUGUUUGGCAUUCAUUACCUUGUAAGCCAGAGAAGUCCGGUGGUACAACUGGAUGAUGCCUUGGCAGUUUUAGUUUCAACUUCUACUUGUACCAAACUAUACAGGCAGUUGAAUUUGGCUGGAUUAGAUAAAUAUUUGGAUUCCAAUCUCUGCGGUGAAAGUCAAAAUAGUAUAGAGUAAGAAUAUGUGGCAUCUGAAUUGUUGAAUCCAAUACAAAUUAUGUUUUUUUUCGAUAAAAAAUAUAUGUUUGGUACAUAUAAUUUGCCAAUAGUUGUACAAAAUGUAGUACAGUGUAAUUAUAUAUAUGCAAGCCAACUAAACAGGAAUUUGAAAAAUGAAUCUACACCCAGUUUACACUUCAAGGUAUAGUAUAGCCAUAUAACCAUGGUAUGUCAUCUUAAGGAAAACAAAAUACUACACUGAUCUAAAGCUGCAAGCAAUCAUAUGACAUAUAUAUACGGGAUGAAAAACACAAGAUAAAAACAGGUGAUAAAACAUACCGAUAUAUUACCACCUAUGUCAGAUUUGACAAUGGCCAUAGCAGCUCAAAACUUAUCUGCCAUAAGAAUAACACCAGUUCAGUCAACAAUGAUACAAGUGAUCAUAUUAUGGCACAUUUGACACAGACCAAGCAUCAAAUUGUAACACAAUGAUUUGCAAUCUAUCAUGUUUUACAUGUUUAAGUUGUAGAGUUUAGAUUGUAAUGAACUACUUUUACAGAUUAAAAGAUAUGUCUGUGCAUGUUUUUGAUAGAGAUGGGUUCAAGAUCCUCUUGUUUUCUAUUCCUUUUCCUCUUAAUGAAAUAUUUCCUUAAAAAAAUGAUUUCGAAACUUAAAUAACCAAGAAACAGGUUAAAAACAGUCUACAAAACGUUCACAUGCUGCUAAGGGGUAAAAAGGGAAGACGCUAUAAAUGCAGAGAUAUUGUAUAAAUUCCACAGUAUAAUUAAAGAACCAAAUUUAUACUUUAAAAUAUGACGUGCAAUCAUCGGAGUGGCCUUAUAUUAAACAUGCUAGUAUGUGUCGAAUAUAAGGAGGAGUAAGGUAAAGAAGUAGGCUCAAUAAAGAUACAGCGGUCUUUUAAGCUGCAGAUAGUGGCUAUUUAGGUUACAGGCUUCAAUGCUGCAUAGACUUGAAUUGAUUUGGAAUAAUAGAUUAAAUUUAUGGUAGUUAUAGUUUUGUUUAAUACGCAUUUGAUUAUUCAAACGGGCCAUUCUAUACUCCCCUCACAAAAUAAAACACAUCAAGAUGUCAAAUAAUCAAGUUUUCCUUUCAUUAUCCUCGUCUUGCAACAAUAACAUAUCAAAGGACGUAGAGUAAUGACCUAUAACAGGAAGUAUAUGCUUGCAAACAUCCAAGAAAGGCUGUGACAGAAUUUCUCCCUGUUCAGACUUUAUAUGCUUCAUUCCUUCCAAUGUAGGAGCGAAAACGGUCCCUUCCAUUUUUGUAUUUUGCUGCAGAUGACACAUCCAUAACUCAAUAAACAUACAAAUAAAAGUUCAACAGACCAAGGGCCUGUUUCGAUUGGCUUAUUUGUGCUUUAUUUACUGACAUAAGUUUUGUCGAUUUUCAUAAGCUUCAAACUUAUUUACAUAAGUUCUUUAAUCUAGCUUAUAAAAACAACUUAGAGCAUGUACAAAAAGAAUUUAACAUCAUUAUAUCCUUAGCUAUAAAAAUAUCUUAUUCAAGCUUAUACAUAAGCGCUUAUCAUGAUAAACACUUGUGCUAUAAACUGCAAAUAAGUUGUUUAUCCAAACUGGCCCCAAAUCAACAUAAAGCCACUCCUAUCACCCUACACAUAUAUAUUAUAUAUUCCUUUCUUUUUGACUAGAUGAUAAAUUUCGUAAUAUAAAUUCGAUAAUAAAAACACAGAUCUUUCAAAAUAUCCUAGUAAAAGGAUAGAUACAAAAGAAGCAAUUUUAUCUUAAAAUAUCCUAACAAAGCAUCAAAAUCUAAAAAUUAAGCCAGUGAGAAGCAAUUUUACAUAAUGCUUAUAGCUAAGUAUACAUAAUAACUUGCAUCUGAUCAUCACAAUUUAUUUUCCUUACAUAAUUGAACUCUAGUUUAGUGCCCAUCACCAAUGGAAAUCAAAGAACACACACAGAAUUGAGCUGCUUAUUUUAAAAUAAAUUAAAAAUCAAAACUUUACUGGGAAAAAAAAAAAUCAAAAUGAAGUUCAAUUGCAUGCCCAUGUACUAAUUUUUCAAAAUUUCACAACUUUCCAAUGCAACAAACUUUGAUCCAUUAAUUAAAUAAUUAGAAUUGAACAAUUGAAUUUCUUGUUAAACAAAACAAAAUUGCAAGUGAUAACGGCUUACAUGUGAAACAAAGUUGAAGAAUGAAGAAAAUGAAGUCAUAACGGCUUCUUUGAUCCACUUGUUCUUUUUCAUUAAGUUUACAUUGUCGGUUGACCAAAAAAAAUUACAUUGUUGGUAAUCAGUUAGAUAAGUUAGACAUGAGGUUAAAAUAAAAAUUGUGAUUAUUGAUUUUUUUUUUCUAUACAUAAAAUGCUUACAACAUUUGUUUAAUAGAAGACGCGGUUGCUCUGGCAAAAAAAAUGAAUCUUUUUAGUUGAUAAAUUAUUUCGUCACAAAUAUCAUUAAACGAUAUCAUAGUAUUAGUUAAAAAUUUAAGAGCUAUGUGAAACAAAAUGAAUUUGGUCUACGGGUGGUGUGAAUUGUUCUCAUAUUUUGGGUUGACGUGCCAAGUGUGUUAGUUAGAAGUAUCAGAACUGCCUUUUAAGGCAAUUUUGGUUUGGUUGAAAAUAAAACCUACGACAUCAAGUUUACACACCCUUCUUGUCCUGGCAAACGAAAUUACAGUUUACAGUUUACACAUCCCAUCAAGUCUGUUUUUUUCUCCCUUAAAAAUAAAGUCUUUUUUUUUUUUCUUUUCUAGCUAGAGUUCAGUUAGUGUCUUAAUGCUCAGUUGUAAACAACAGUCAUGUUCUUUCAAAAACUGAAUAAUCACUCUUCUUGCUUUUAUUGAUAAAGCUGAAAAUAAUCACUCUUCUUGUUUGUAUAGAUAAUCAAUAUUUAUAUUAACCGCAUGCGAAUAUAGUUCAAUAAGUUUGUUUCUUGCCAAACCAAAUUGCGUUUAUCCCAACAUUCCAUUCACCAAACAAAAAACAAGUCAUUUGUAAGGUAAAUGACUAUAGGUCAUUAAUUUUGUUAUCAUGUCCAUUAUUUUGGAUGCCAAUAGAGAAACACAGAGUUUAAGGACUCAAACAAAACAGAGAGUGAGAAUGCAAGAGCCAUUCCUCAAUAGACUUCUGUCCAUGAAUCCAUCCUU
This 4966-nucleotide long non-coding RNA is filed under the name Medicago truncatula (barrel medic). RNAcentral's name for it is "long non-coding RNA (MTRU_LNC005352)". The record is from RNAcentral. Lineage: Eukaryota; Viridiplantae; Streptophyta; Magnoliopsida; Fabales; Fabaceae.